AUUGAACGCUGGCGGCAUGCCUUACACAUGCAAGUCGAACGGCAGCACGGGUGCUUGCACCUGGUGGCGAGUGGCGAACGGGUGAGUAAUACAUCGGAACGUACCUUAUCGUGGGGGAUGACGCAGCGAAAGCUGUGCUAAUACCGCAUACGCCCUGAGGGGGAAGGCGGGGGAUCGCAAGACCUCGCGCGAUUAGAGCGGCCGAUGCCUGAUUAGCUUGUUGGUGGGGUAAAAGCCCACCAAGGCGACGAUCAGUAGCUGGUCUGAGAGGACGAUCAGCCACACUGGGACUGAGACACGGCCCAGACUCCUACGGGAGGCAGCAGUGGGGAAUUUUGGACAAUGGGGGCAACCCUGAUCCAGCAAUGCCGCGUGAGUGAAGAAGGCCUUCGGGUUGUAAAGCUCUUUUGUCAGGGAAGAAACACCGGCUCUAACACAGUCUGGGAAUGACGGUACCUGAAGAAUAAGCACCGGCUAACUACGUGCCAGCCGCCGCCGUAA
This 501-nucleotide ribosomal RNA is filed under the name uncultured bacterium. RNAcentral describes it as "partial 16S ribosomal RNA". It matches the Rfam family "Bacterial small subunit ribosomal RNA", at positions 29 to 523 of the family's 1533-position model. The record is from RNAcentral.